AGCAGCCGCGGUAAUUCCAGCUCCAAUAGCGUAUAUUAAAGUUGUUGCAGUUAAAAAGCUCGUAGUUGAAUUUCGGGAUUGGCGCAUCGGUCGUGCCUCACGGGGUAUGAACUGGUGCAGUCAAUUUCUCACCUUCUGGAGAACCGCGAUGUCCUUAAUUGGAUGCCGCGGGGAACCAGGACCUUUACUUUGAAAAAAUUAGAGUGUUUAAAGCAGGCAUUUUUGCUUGAAUACAUUAGCAUGGAAUAAUAAAAUAGGACGGCAUGGUUCUAUUUUGUUGGUUUCUAGGACCACCGUAAUGAUUAAUAGGGAUAGUUGGGGGCAUUAGUAUUCAAUUGUCAGAGGUGAAAUUCUUGGAUUUAUUGAAGACUAACUACUGCGAAAGCAUUUGCCAAGGACGUUUUUCAUUAAUCAAGAACGAAAGUUAGGGGAUCGAAGACGAUCAGAUACCGUCGUAGUCUUAACCAUAAACUAUGCCGAUUAGGAAUCAGACGAUGUUAAUUUUUUAAUGACUCGUUUGGCACCUUAC
RNAcentral lists this ribosomal RNA (529 nucleotides) under uncultured Entrophospora. Its description in RNAcentral is "SSU rRNA". It matches the Rfam family "Eukaryotic small subunit ribosomal RNA", at positions 569 to 1091 of the family's 1831-position model. Lineage: Eukaryota; Fungi; Glomeromycota; Glomeromycetes; Entrophosporales; Entrophosporaceae. The record is from RNAcentral.